GAUGAACGCUGGCGGCGUGCCUAAUACAUGCAAGUCGAGCGAACAGACGAGGAGCUUGCUCCUCUGACGUUAGCGGCGGACGGGUGAGUAACACGUGGAUAACCUACCUAUAAGACUGGGAUAACUUCGGGAAACCGGAGCUAAUACCGGAUAAUAUAUUGAACCGCAUGGUUCAAUAGUGAAAGACGGUUUUGCUGUCACUUAUAGAUGGAUCCGCGCCGCAUUAGCUAGUUGGUAAGGUAACGGCUUACCAAGGCAACGAUGCGUAGCCGACCUGAGAGGGUGAUCGGCCACACUGGAACUGAGACACGGUCCAGACUCCUACGGGAGGCAGCAGUAGGGAAUCUUCCGCAAUGGGCGAAAGCCUGACGGAGCAACGCCGAGUGAGUGAUGAAGGUCUUCGGAUCGUAAAACUCUGUUAUUAGGGAAGAACAAAUGUGUAAGUAACUAUGCACGUCUUGACGGUACCUAAUCAGAAAGCCACGGCUAACUACGUG
RNAcentral lists this ribosomal RNA (497 nucleotides) under uncultured bacterium. Its description in RNAcentral is "partial 16S ribosomal RNA". It matches the Rfam family "Bacterial small subunit ribosomal RNA", at positions 28 to 507 of the family's 1533-position model. The record is from RNAcentral.